RNAcentral lists this ribosomal RNA (253 nucleotides) under uncultured bacterium. Its description in RNAcentral is "partial 16S ribosomal RNA". It matches the Rfam family "Bacterial small subunit ribosomal RNA", at positions 524 to 776 of the family's 1533-position model. The record is from RNAcentral.
UACGUAGGGGGCAAGCGUUGUCCGGAUUUAUUGGGCGUAAAGCGCGUGUAGGCGGCCAGGUAGGUCCGCUGUGAAAACCCGAGGCUCAACCUCGGGACGUCGGCGGAAACCAUCUGGCUAGAGUCCGGAAGAGGAGAGUGGAAUUCCAGGUGUAGCGGUGAAAUGCGCAGAUAUCGGGAAGAACACCCGUGGCGAAGGCGGGUCUCUGGACAGUUCCUGACGCUGAGGCACGAAGGCCAGGGGAGCAAACGGG